Molecule: long non-coding RNA, 1040 nt
Filed under: Ananas comosus (pineapple)
Lineage: Eukaryota; Viridiplantae; Streptophyta; Magnoliopsida; Poales; Bromeliaceae
Description: long non-coding RNA (ACOM_LNC019225)
Source: RNAcentral
UAAAAAGAAAUUUUUUAAAAAAUUCAUGUUAAUAGAAAAAAAUAAAGUUUUAGAGGUGUUAUUAUAAAAAUGGCCUUUAGGUAAUGGUAUUUAAAAAUACUUUUACCUAUAUAUAUAUAUAUAGAGAGAGAGAGAGAGAGAGAGAGAGAGAGAGUAGGGCUACUAUACUCUUAUGAGUAUAGAGCCCUUCAUACUCAUAAAUUGUUUUCGGUGAUGGAGCUUCAGAAUCGACUAUCCAUUCCGUUAAAUAUGAUCUAGAGUAUUUGAAACUUUUAAAAAAUAAAUUUCGUAAUUUUUUGAAAUCAUAAUAAAGUCUAUCAAACGGGCAUAAAAUGAACAGUUAAAAUCGAACGACGUCCUAAAAUUAGAUGAUCGGAUCCUUCAAUUUAAGAUCAGAGUUAUUGAUCUUUAUCUAGGCAGUGAAUAGAAUUUUUUAUCAAAAUUUCAAUCUAUUCCAAUUCUUUUACACCAUUAAACUAGCAAGUAUGUCAUACAGGCCAUUAAAAAUUGUCAAUUUUAUGAGCUAUUGAUCGUAAGACAAAUUAUGUCAAUAAAUUAUAAAAUUUGAUUUUUUUUUAAUUUUAAAUGCUGUAGAUAAUAUUUAAUGAUAUGGAUCGUCGAUUCGAAAGCUCUAUAAUUGAAAACGACUUAUAAGUAUAAGAACCGAUCGUACUUGUAAGAGUAUAGUAGCCGAACUCACAAAAGAUCUCAAAAUUGACAAUUUUAACUCCAAUCUUAAACUGAAUGAUCCACAAUCAUCUAUUUUUUAGGACGUCGUUCAAUUUUGAUCGUUUAUUUUAUACCCACUUAAUAGACUUUCUUAUGAUCUCAAAAAAUUACGAAAUUUAUUUUUUAGACAUUUCAAAUACUCAAAAUCAUAUAUAUCGGAGUGAAUCGUCGAUUCAAAAGCUUCAUUAUCGAAAAUAAUUUAUCAAUACGAAAGGCUCUAUUUUCAUAAGUGUAUAGCAGUCCUACUCUCUCUCUCUCUCUCUCUCUCUCUAUAUAUAUAUAAAUAUCCUCACACGAAAAAUAAUGAAAAU